RNAcentral lists this ribosomal RNA (2923 nucleotides) under Klebsiella pneumoniae subsp. pneumoniae. RNAcentral describes it as "23S ribosomal RNA". It matches the Rfam family "Bacterial large subunit ribosomal RNA". Lineage: Bacteria; Pseudomonadati; Pseudomonadota; Gammaproteobacteria; Enterobacterales; Enterobacteriaceae. The record is from RNAcentral.
GGGUUGUGAGGUUAAGCGACUAAGCGUACACGGUGGAUGCCCUGGCAGUCAGAGGCGAUGAAGGACGUGCUAAUCUGCGAAAAGCGUCGGUAAGGUGAUAUGAACCGUUACAGCCGGCGAUGUCCGAAUGGGGAAACCCAGUGCAAUUCGUUGCACUAUCGUUAACUGAAUACAUAGGUUAACGAGGCGAACCGGGGGAACUGAAACAUCUAAGUACCCCGAGGAAAAGAAAUCAACCGAGAUUCCCCCAGUAGCGGCGAGCGAACGGGGAGCAGCCCAGAGUCUGAAUCAGCUUGUGUGUUAGUGGAACGGUCUGGAAAGUCCGACGGUACAGGGUGAUAGUCCCGUACACCAAAAUGCACAGGUUGUGAACUCGAAGAGUAGGGCGGGACACGUGGUAUCCUGUCUGAAUAUGGGGGGACCAUCCUCCAAGGCUAAAUACUCCUGACUGACCGAUAGUGAACCAGUACCGUGAGGGAAAGGCGAAAAGAACCCCGGCGAGGGGAGUGAAAAAGAACCUGAAACCGUGUACGUACAAGCAGUGGGAGCACCUUCGGGUGUGACUGCGUACCUUUUGUAUAAUGGGUCAGCGACUUAUAUUCUGUAGCAAGGUUAACCGUAUAGGGGAGCCGCAGGGAAACCGAGUCUUAACUGGGCGUUAAGUUGCAGGGUAUAGACCCGAAACCCGGUGAUCUAGCCAUGGGCAGGUUGAAGGUUGGGUAACACUAACUGGAGGACCGAACCGACUAAUGUUGAAAAAUUAGCGGAUGACUUGUGGCUGGGGGUGAAAGGCCAAUCAAACCGGGAGAUAGCUGGUUCUCCCCGAAAGCUAUUUAGGUAGCGCCUCGUGAACUCAUCUUCGGGGGUAGAGCACUGUUUCGGCUAGGGGGUCAUCCCGACUUACCAACCCGAUGCAAACUACGAAUACCGAAGAAUGUUAUCACGGGAGACACACGGCGGGUGCUAACGUCCGUCGUGAAGAGGGAAACAACCCAGACCGCCAGCUAAGGUCCCAAAGUCAUGGUUAAGUGGGAAACGAUGUGGGAAGGCACAGACAGCCAGGAUGUUGGCUUAGAAGCAGCCAUCAUUUAAAGAAAGCGUAAUAGCUCACUGGUCGAGUCGGCCUGCGCGGAAGAUGUAACGGGGCUAAACCAUGCACCGAAGCUGCGGCAGCGACACUAUGUGUUGUUGGGUAGGGGAGCGUUCUGUAAGCCUGCGAAGGUGACCUGUGAGGGUUGCUGGAGGUAUCAGAAGUGCGAAUGCUGACAUAAGUAACGAUAAAGCGGGUGAAAAGCCCGCUCGCCGGAAGACCAAGGGUUCCUGUCCAACGUUAAUCGGGGCAGGGUGAGUCGACCCCUAAGGCGAGGCCGAAAGGCGUAGUCGAUGGGAAACAGGUUAAUAUUCCUGUACUUGGUGUUACUGCGAAGGGGGGACGGAGAAGGCUAUGUUAGCCGGGCGACGGUUGUCCCGGUUUAAGCAUGUAGGCUGGUUGUCCAGGCAAAUCCGGAUAAUCAAGGCUGAGGUGUGAUGACGAGGCACUACGGUGCUGAAGUAACAAAUGCCCUGCUUCCAGGAAAAGCCUCUAAGCAUCAGGUAACAUCAAAUCGUACCCCAAACCGACACAGGUGGUCAGGUAGAGAAUACCAAGGCGCUUGAGAGAACUCGGGUGAAGGAACUAGGCAAAAUGGUGCCGUAACUUCGGGAGAAGGCACGCUGGUGUGUAGGUGAAGUCCCUGCGGAUGGAGCUGAGACCAGUCGAAGAUACCAGCUGGCUGCAACUGUUUAUUAAAAACACAGCACUGUGCAAACACGAAAGUGGACGUAUACGGUGUGACGCCUGCCCGGUGCCGGAAGGUUAAUUGAUGGGGUUAUCCGUAAGGAGAAGCUCUUGAUCGAAGCCCCGGUAAACGGCGGCCGUAACUAUAACGGUCCUAAGGUAGCGAAAUUCCUUGUCGGGUAAGUUCCGACCUGCACGAAUGGCGUAAUGAUGGCCAGGCUGUCUCCACCCGAGACUCAGUGAAAUUGAACUCGCUGUGAAGAUGCAGUGUACCCGCGGCAAGACGGAAAGACCCCGUGAACCUUUACUAUAGCUUGACACUGAACAUUGAGCCUUGAUGUGUAGGAUAGGUGGGAGGCUUUGAAGCGUGGACGCCAGUCUGCGUGGAGCCAACCUUGAAAUACCACCCUUUAAUGUUUGAUGUUCUAACGUUGGCCCCUUACCGGGGUUGCGGACAGUGUCUGGUGGGUAGUUUGACUGGGGCGGUCUCCUCCCAAAGCGUAACGGAGGAGCACGAAGGUUAGCUAAUCCUGGUCGGACAUCAGGAGGUUAGUGCAAUGGCAUAAGCUAGCUUGACUGCGAGCGUGACGGCGCGAGCAGGUGCGAAAGCAGGUCAUAGUGAUCCGGUGGUUCUGAAUGGAAGGGCCAUCGCUCAACGGAUAAAAGGUACUCCGGGGAUAACAGGCUGAUACCGCCCAAGAGUUCAUAUCGACGGCGGUGUUUGGCACCUCGAUGUCGGCUCAUCACAUCCUGGGGCUGAAGUAGGUCCCAAGGGUAUGGCUGUUCGCCAUUUAAAGUGGUACGCGAGCUGGGUUUAGAACGUCGUGAGACAGUUCGGUCCCUAUCUGCCGUGGGCGCUGGAGAAUUGAGGGGGGCUGCUCCUAGUACGAGAGGACCGGAGUGGACGCAUCACUGGUGUUCGGGUUGUCAUGCCAAUGGCACUGCCCGGUAGCUAAAUGCGGAAGAGAUAAGUGCUGAAAGCAUCUAAGCACGAAACUUGCCCCGAGAUGAGUUCUCCCUGAGACUUUAAGUCUCCUGAAGGAACGUUAAAGACGAUGACGUUGAUAGGCCGGGUGUGUAAGCGCAGCGAUGCGUUGAGCUAACCGGUACUAAUGAACCGUGAGGCUUAACCUUACAACGCCGAAG